AGCAGCCGCGGUAAUUCCAGCUCCAAUAGCGUAUAUUAAAGUUGUUGCAGUUAAAAGCUGUAGUUGAAUUUGGGGUUUGGCCGAUUGGUCCGUUCUUGUAACGAGUACUGGUCGGUUGGCCUCACCGCUUGGGGAAGGGUAAUGCCCUUUAUUGGGUGUUGCUCGGAGCCAAGACCUUACCUUGAAAAAUUAGAGUGUUUAAAGCAGGCAUAUGCCAGAAUACAUUAGCAUGGAAUAUAGAAU
Molecule: ribosomal RNA, 243 nt
Filed under: uncultured Glomeromycotina
Lineage: Eukaryota; Fungi; Glomeromycota
Description: partial small subunit ribosomal RNA
Rfam family: Eukaryotic small subunit ribosomal RNA
Source: RNAcentral